Molecule: transfer RNA, 69 nt
Filed under: Marmota monax (woodchuck)
Lineage: Eukaryota; Metazoa; Chordata; Mammalia; Rodentia; Sciuridae
Rfam family: tRNA
About the family: Transfer RNA (tRNA) molecules are approximately 80 nucleotides in length.
Source: Rfam by way of RNAcentral
GGAGUUGUGGCUCAGUGGCAGAGUGCUUGCCUAGCAUGCAUGAGGCCCUGAGUUCAAUCCUCAGCACCA